ACAAAUAGCCCAUAAUCCACAAAAACUACUGAAGAGAUUUUAGCUAGCGCUGAAGCUUUAGAAUGAAAGGAUGAUGACAGUCAUGGUGGUUGGGGCGGCAAUGAUGUGUUGGCUACGAUGGGUGAUGGGCGAGUCUGAUGACUAGAAUGGUGGCAAAAGUGGGUGCAACAAUGAUGGUUGUGGUGGCGGUGUCACUAUGGUCGUCUAACGUGAAUUAAUGCAGAAAUGGGAGGCGCAAUGGUGGCAGCCGUUGUGGAGGUGACUGAUGGUGUAUUGUCAUUGUCAGUGGUGACUAGAGGCAAUAUGUGGGAUAUAAUGAAGAUGAAGGAAGGGAGGAGAGAGAGACAGAGACUAAGAGAGAGAAGGAAAGAGAGAGGUUUGAGUGGUAGUGGUUGUGGUGGCGACAUCACACAACGGUUGGAGACGAGGCAUGGGCUGGUGAAGAUGAAGGAAGGAGAGAGGAGGAGAUCAAGAUAAAGAGAGGUAUGGGCAGUGAUGGUCAUGGUGGUAGUGUCGCGGUCGACGAUAGGUGUGUGGGAUGACAAACAUGAAUGGUGAUGGUGCGGGGAGAUAUUCUUUGUUAUCUUGUGAACAAAAUUUCAUACACAUAUUUACUGUUUGGGAGGUAAACGUCAAGAAGCCAAAAAGUUGUGGUCAGGUGCUAAGGUGGGUGUGGAUGAACUGGAAUUUGAGUGGAAUCGACAAAAUAGGUGUGGAGAAGAGAGUGGAGAAGAUGGUAUGGAGGAUAGGCAGGGGUCAAAGAAGAGGUUGUGAAAGAAAUUGUGAGAGAAGGAAUUCUAAUAUAUUGAUGUGAAAUUUCAUGGAAGGAAUUGUUUUUCUUU
RNAcentral lists this long non-coding RNA (842 nucleotides) under Vitis vinifera (wine grape). RNAcentral describes it as "long non-coding RNA (VVIN_LNC006208)". Lineage: Eukaryota; Viridiplantae; Streptophyta; Magnoliopsida; Vitales; Vitaceae. The record is from RNAcentral.